Molecule: non-coding RNA, 6484 nt
Organism: Poecilia reticulata (guppy)
Lineage: Eukaryota; Metazoa; Chordata; Actinopteri; Cyprinodontiformes; Poeciliidae
Source: RefSeq, a predicted model, not a curated record
UUAGCGCGCCCACGCGGACCCGAUGGUAGGACAGGUCACAGCUGAGCCGAUGAGAUCAUGGAGGCUGCGCUGAGGUCGGACGGGAUACGGCCGACGGGACUGAGCGGUGAUGGAGAGCUGCCUGUCCGAAUCCAUGAUGACCUGCAGUGUAACUGAAAGUCCAAGACAUCUUGCCUAUGUCACUUGGAGCCUCACUGCCAACAGCCUCAUAUUUUCUUCACAAAAGACUAAAUAAGUCUCAAUUCCUGCACAGUCAGCUAUGGACAAGUGAAUAGUGGGCAGUGAAUAAGUGCCCUUUAUUAUUCCCAUUGCUUAUUCCUAUUCCACAAAUGGAUAGCCCAGUUUUCCUGUCUGUGACAAUUUGCUUCCAGAUGUUAUAUUUUGCCAUACAACCAUGCCUUUAAACAUAAGAGCCAAGCCCUCGCACGGCAAGCUGACUGCUGCUGCUGCAAAGAGUGGUGGGCAAAAUGAUGGCAGCUCAUCUCAUUCACGCUUCUCAAGGUCUGCAAAACAGGGAAAAGGUAAGCAGGCUGUCAGCUCAGGUCCUGGGUCCCGAUCAGGACUUGAGCCUGGCUCUGUGUCAGGGGGCGGGCCUCCACCAGCAGCUAAACUGACCGGAGCACAAGGUUCAGUUUCAAAGCUUGGCUCAAGACUCAAAGUCAACACAACCGCUGAUAAAGGAUCAGCUCGUGGUUCAGCAACAGCUCCAGGUGGCAAAACCAUGUCCAUGGAGAACAUCCAGUCUUUAAGUGCGGCCUAUGCCACUUCUGGCACCAUGUAUCCCAAUGAGCGGGAGUCCUUGGAACCCUCUGGUGGAUACCCUAAAAGUACCAUGACAUUAGGGCGGAGUACCAGCCGCUCGUCUUACACUGGCCGCAGUACAGCAAUUGGAAGCACCCCAAACAUCACGACCUCUGGUAUGCAUCACAUAUCAGACUCUUGUGGAGACCAAACUGUGUUUUCUACAGGAACUUCCAGUUUGCGACAGAAGUCUGGAAGAUGCACACAAACACUGGAUUCGGAUGAUCGGGGAGAGGUUUCCACCUGUGAUCUCCAGGCUCAGCUGAGGGAUCUGCAGAGAGAGAAUGAAAGUCUCCGGAGGGAACUGGAUGGAGGAAGGGAUGGAAAGACAGGCUAUGGCACGAAUAGUGUUAAUUUCUGGAGCCCUGAUGUAAAGAGAGACAAGGGGAGUAGGCGUGAAGAGGGAGUAAGGACGCCAGCUCUAAAGGAGCAGUGCAGAGUGAACCAAGAAGAUUUACAGCUGGGGGAUAUAAGAAGAAACAAGCAACUUCCUUUGACAGUUCAGGAGCUACAGGAGGAGCUGAGAGCUCACAGAGAGACAAACAGUCGCCUGCGGCAACAGCGGCAGCAGAGCAGCUCCUACCGAGAACACCAUAUGGACCAGGAGUUCAGAGGGGGGCUCAGUCCUGGCCACAGUCCCAGACAAAGUUCUAUAAACCUGCACAGUCCCGCACCAAAGAACAGCCCCAAAGCCAGUCCAUCGAACACCUACAAUCCAAGGCAACAAGAGGCUGACAUCAUCAUUCACAGUCCUGGCUAUGGGUGUAAUACAUUGGCAGCCACACAGAGACUUAGCCCAGCCAACACCCUUCAGCCUGGGCAAAGGAACAGUCCAAGCCAGCCCCUCUACAGUCCUAGCCAGGGAGCAUUGCCCAGCUCUAGCCCCCGUCAUCCAUGUAGCCCCUGUCAGGUGCCUGGGUGCGACGGCUUUUCUUCACCUCCUCCUCAAGAUCCAACAGAGGAAAACUUCUUCCGACUGCAGUCAGAACAUGAGCGUCAAGCCAAUGAGUUGUCCCUGCUGAGGAAGACUAUGGAAGAGAUGGAGAUGAGAAUCGACUCCCAGAAGCAGACGCUGGGUGCACGAGACGAGAGUAUCCAGAGGUUGCUGGAGAUGCUUCAGGGUCAGGGACAUUGGGGACGAGGACAGCGGACAGGCAUAAUUACCAUGGCAGCCCAGGAAGCUGAUGUCCACUUGGAGAACAUGCAUUUGAGAGAGAACACGAACGCUUCUUUCUGUUUUGAUCCUGAUGUUAUCUGGCAGGACACCAAGAUCUCUUCCCUGGAGAGAAACAUCAGAGACUUGGAGGAUGAGGUCCAGAUGCUAAAAACCACCGGCCUGUUGCACCCUGAUGAAAGGCAGGAUGAACUCAAGCAGGUGGAAGUCUACAAGAGCCACUCUAAAUUUAUGAAAACUAAGGAGCAGACAUUGUCACCAUGUGUGUCUUCCAUCAGACCAGCUCCUACCUUCCUCAUGCCCACUCAACUGCCUUGGAUCACAGAACAAGAAGAAAUAGAGCAGCUGAAGCAGGAGCUGAACAGGAAGGACUCAGAGAUGCAGGCCCUGCAAACCAAACUAGAAACACUGACCAAUCAGAACUCGGACUACAAGCAACACGUCGAGGUGCUAAAAGAGUCGCUCAGUGCCAAGGAGCAGCGCGCCAACACACUGCAGACAGAGGUGGACGCUCUGCGAGUGCGUCUGGAGGAGAAGGAACAGAUUCUGACAAAGAAAACCAAACAACUGCAAGACUUAAGUGAUGAAAAGAGCACACUGGCUGGAGAAAUCAGAGACAUGAAGGACAUGCUGGACGUCAAGGAGAGAAAAGUGAAUAUCCUACAGAAGAAGAUUGAGAACCUGUUGGAGCAGUUAAAAGAUAAGGACAAACAGCUGGUUGGAUUGAGAGAAAAGGUUCAGGGGCUUCAGACUGACUCCAGUAACACAGACACAGCUCUGGCCACUCUGGAAGAAGCUUUAUCAGAAAAGGAGCGAGUGAUUGAGAACCUCCGAGACCAGAAGGAACGAGAAGACAGGGUGAGGCUUGAAGAGAUGGACCAGAUGAGGAGAGAGAACCAGGAGCUGAAGGAAAAAAUGGCUGCUCUGCAACCCUCAAAGCUGCCUCAGAGCCAGGCCACUAACUCCAUCUUAAUCCAGAACCAGAGGCCUCAUGGGGAGGUUGAACCCAAAGUAGAUGGUUUUCCAGCAGUCAACCCCAUGACCCCAAAACCAGAGGAAACUGUCAGAAUCUGUCCAGACAUCGCAGAUCGUCUGAUGCUUCUCGAGCAGGAAGUGUCCCGCUACAGAGAGGAGUCUGGGAAGUCCCAGGCUGAGGUGGAGAGGUUAAAGGGAGCGCUUAAGGAUGCCGAAGUGGACAAAUCGUGCAAGGAGAAGAAAAUUACUGAUCUUGAGAGACCUGGGCAAAUCAAGUCUCCAAAUAUCCAGAAGCAGAUUGUGCCUGGCGAGAUGAGGAAAGAUGCCUUGGUAGAUGGACAUCCACACUCUUUAUCACAGCUUUGCAAUUCCCAGGAUGCCAUGCGUGAGACGGCGGAGCGGAUAAUGGAGCUGGAGAAGGCUCUGAGGGAUACCAUGAACACCUCAGCCCAUAGGGAGGCCCUUUGGGCGCAGGAGGAGGCGGCCCGUGUUCAGGCCCAAAGACAGUUGGAGGAGCUGAUGGGAGCUUUAGAGAAGACUCGCCAGGAGCUAGAUGCCACUAAAGUACGUCUGUCCUCCACUCAGAAGUGCCUACAUGAUCGAGAUGGACACCUCAACCAACUGCGGCAGGAGAGACGCAAACAGCUGGAGGAGAUCCUGGAGAUGAAGCAGCAGGCGUUGCUGGCAGCCAUCAGUGAGAAGGAUGCUAACAUUGCCCUUCUGGAAUUAUCUUCUUCCAAACGCAAGAAAGCCCAGGAGGAGGUGAUGGCUCUGAAAAGGGAGAAGGACAGACUCAUGCACCAGCUCAAACAGCAGACCCAGAGCAGAAUGAAGUUAAUAGCAGACAAUUAUGAGGAAGACUACAUCCACCCCCAACAUCACCCUCAUCAUUUGCACCACAUGCAUACAGCAAAUUUGCAUCACCGAAGUCUGCCAAGAGGGGACCCACACGCCAACCACCGACCUCCGAUGGAUCAGGAUGACGAAGAAGGUAUAUGGGCUUGAUGAGUACUAUCCAUAGGAACCUGCAUCUCUUUGGUGUCUACUUUCUCGGCGCUAACUCAUAUCCCUUAAGGUAAGCCUGGACCUCUGGUUAACCUACUGGUUCAGUAACCUUGAUCAGAUAUCAACUGGGGAUAUGCAUUCAGUCAGUUGUGUAUGUGUGUUUAUAUUAGAACCUUGUAUCCCUUUCUAAUAGAAUAAGCCUGCCACAUUAGCCUUUUAGUGGAGAGUGGUAUUGUGGCUAGCAAUAUCAGUGCUGCUCAUCUAUCCGAUUCUGUUAUUCUGGCAGCACGCAGCACGAGUGCUGCUAGAGUGUAGAGCUAUCCUUUAUAACAGAACAGAUGGGAGCCAUUCGGAGGUAUGUAGCUACAGCACAUAAGGCUGUACCUAAUCCCCAUAUCCUGUCCCUGAGUGAGCCCUCCCUAAUAUGAGCAAACAGAGAUGACAGCACAGAUAGACAAAUAGCUAAGAAUCUAUGAGCCUGAUAGAUUUUACUUCUGUUUCUUAACAGCACCAUUGAGUUCUGCUUCAACAAUGUGAUUUCCUUAUUAACUUUUAAAGUGUGAGUUACAGAUUGUGUAUUCAUGCAUCUCUUUGUGUAGAUCCUCAACUCUUAUUGGCUCAUUUAGAUUGUGUAUGUUCUGUUUUUGAUUACAGAGGUUUUGUUUACCUUCUAGCCUACUGGACUCCCUCACUAAUGAAAUAAGAAUGUCCUUUUAGAGAUGCAGCACAGAAGAAGGGGGGAUGGAGGCCCACCCCUAGGCUGCCAAUCCAAGACAGGCCUGCUGCGGCGAGGUAGAUAUUCAAAGAUGCAUUUGGAAUCACAAGAUUGAUUAGCUUCAGUUCCCAGGACCAGACGAUUUGUCUUCGUUUUCAGACCCCAUUAAUAAAGCACAAAAUUUCAUCAGAUUGGGCUUUUAAAUGCUUAUAAAUAUCUACGCCAUUGAUACAGGUCACAUUCGUGGACAAAUGCAGUGUUUUGCUGGGGACCCAAGCUCCUUGUGGAUGAACCUCAUACCACAGCUAAAUAUUGGCAAGUUUGCUCCUGCCUUCAAUUUCUGGGCUGUUUUCAAUAGACUGGGACCUGGAUUCAUUUUGCAGUGCUGUGGUGCAACAGAGGCCUGACUUCAUAGUAACGAAGAGUCACAACAGUGUUGACGACUGCAAGCAAACUGAGGCCGAGCCAGAUGCGCGAGCCCCAGAUCCAUACCUGUUCAGGUUUAUGUUUGCAGGCUUGUGUUUACUUCUGGAGCUAAAUAUCAGACGUUUGUAAAUAUGACAACAUGGACCUCAAAAUCAACAACCCACUAAGACCUCCUCAAUGUAUGGUGCCAAAGGAAUUGCCGCAGUCCACUGGGAUAAAUAGAAAAAGAUGAAACACCAACUGAUUCAACUCUUAUCCAAGACUUUCAACACUGCCCACUUUACUUAACGGCGAUCUUAGUGUCUUGCAAAAGUAGUCCUGCCCCUUUGGAACGUAAAACACUUCAGUCAUGUUACAACCGAAAACUUAAAUGUAUUUUUUGGGGGAUUUUAUGGACCAAUAAACACUUUUUUUGUUUAGUUUUUUGAGAACCAUUUUCUGCUAUAAUCACAGCUGCAAGGAUUUUGGAGAGCCUUUAUGAUAUUGAAUGUCUAGUCUCGCCACAGUCUCACAAAUGGAUUUAGGUCUGAACUUAUAUAGCAUUCGUUUUCUAGUCCACACAGAACCGUGCAUAUUGGCUUCAAAAUUCUGUUUAAUCUCCCUUGACUAAAGCAAAUGACAUCAUAUUUGCUCUCUGCUCCUUGGUUUGUGGCAAACACACCACUGUCAGUUGGUUCUUAACACAUAAUCCCAAUAAAAACAAACUAAACUGUGUUUGUAACAUGAUGAAAUGUUAAAAAUGUUCAAAGGCUAUAAAUAAUUUUUUUGAGGAAAGGCGUAGUAAAUCUACUGCACAGGCAUUAAAAAAAAAAGUUAGCCUUGAUGUUCCCACAGAGAAAAUGAGAAUCCACUUAUACUCAAUCAAAAAGUCAGAACCUUAGUUUACAGUGAAGAAAAAUGCAGUGUUUUUUCUCCUUAUUAAUGUGUUCUGUUUGGUUUUCUGCAACAGAAGGAUCUGAGUGCCACUCUUAUUCUUUUCUUCUUUUUACAUCUGCUGUGUGUCUUAUACUGAAGAGUGGUGUAUUUAUUGUCUAUUUGAUUUUGUGAAUUUAUGUGACUAACAACACUGAAGUGACUUGCAUUCCAAAUAAUUAUUGAUUUUUUUCACUGUACUAAAAGUUGGUUUGAAGUGACAAUAAUUGCUGUAUUGUUGUGGACUCAGCAGCUUCACAGUGUGUAAAUGACUGAAUAUGUCCAGUGUAUGUGUAGGUGCGUGUGCACGUGUGUGUGUGUGCGUGUGUGUGCGUGUGUGUGUGUGGUUUGGUCCUGCUCACUCAGUUGUAGUGACUGUGAAAGUCUGGGGCUAACAGUAUUCACCCUUGGCUCAUUCCACAAUGUUUGGCAGCUUUCAGUUUGUUCACGUUGUUUGAAUAAAACUUUUAACUUAA